RNAcentral lists this ribosomal RNA (165 nucleotides) under Listeria monocytogenes. RNAcentral's name for it is "partial 16S ribosomal RNA". It matches the Rfam family "Bacterial small subunit ribosomal RNA", at positions 1 to 160 of the family's 1533-position model. Lineage: Bacteria; Bacillati; Bacillota; Bacilli; Caryophanales; Listeriaceae. The record is from RNAcentral.
UUUAAAGAGAGUUUGAUCCUGGCUCAGGACGAACGCUGGCGGCGUGCCUAAUACAUGCAAGUCGAACGAACGGAGGAAGAGCUUGCUCUUCCAAAGUUAGUGGCGGACGGGUGAGUAACACGUGGGCAACCUGCCUGUAAGUUGGGGAUAACUCCGGGAAACCGG